UUGCCAGCAAGCGUGUGCAGCAGGAGAGUCUCAGUUCCCUGGCACUCUGAUGGCUGUGUUCUGCCUCCCCUUUAUAUGGGUCUCACUGAAGCUGGAGCUAACCAACUUAGCCAGAGUGGAUGGCCAAGGAGCUCGGGGAUUUGCCUGGCCUCAUCUCCCCAGCUUUUUAGGUGGAUGCUGGAUAUCCAGACGGGUUCAAAUGCUUGCAUCCACUGAGCUAAGAUGCAUAUGCAGUCCUCAGCCCCGUGCCAUUCCGUAAUAGAAGAGAAACGAAGCAGUGUGGGUUUCCCUGUCAAUAUUCAUCUACUGAGGCUGCUCUUUGCUCUAGCCAGAAGCAGGGAGGCAGGAAAGGAGCCCUUGUGUUAUUUGAUUCUGAUCUUCAAUGGAUCUAAAUCACUGACUUCUAAUUUGCGUUUCUUAAAAAUAAAAAUAAAAAUAAAAAUAAAAAUAAAAAUAAAAAUAAAAAUAAAUGGAUGUGUGUGUGCCAAGUGUGUGCCUAGUGCCCUCCAAGGUCAGAAGAGGACAGCAGGCCCCCUGGAUCUGGAAUUAAAGACAAUUUGUGAGUGUUCGUGACUGGGAACUGAACCCAGGUCUACUAGAUCAGCCGAUGAUCUUAUCCUCUGUACCAUCUCUCCAGCCCUCGCCGUGCCCUCCUCUAAAAAGAAUCUUCCACAAGAUACUGAGUGCCUUAAACUUUUAAGACAGACUUAAUCAGAAGAGGGAGGAUUUUCAGCAAGAGAAGCACAUGCAUAAAAUCUCAGGGGCUAUCUCUGGUAGGCUACAACUUUGUUCUGAGUGCUAAGAAGUGAUGUGGAAAGAGUGGAAUAGUGUUAAAGGAAAAGCCUGCCCAGGCCAACUGGAACCCAAGAUUCUCAGCCCUUUGCAUCUCUAGGAACUGGAACUGCAGGCUACCAGAUAAGCCAGAGAGCAAUACUCAGUCAAAAGUCAGAGAGCUAUUAGACAAUAUAUGCUAGGGAAAAUUCCACAGUGUCUAGAAAAAGACUCAAACAUUGAGGGGUAACCCUGUGGGAGAUGGUUAUUUUUUUCCCACAUUUUAAUUUUUACAUUUACCUUUAGAGAACUAAAGGCAUUUCUUGCAUAAGUUCUUUCUUUUCCAUAUAGCCCAGGCUGGACUUAAAUCUUAGGUAGUGGAGGCUGUCCUUGAAUUUCAAAUCCUUCUGCCACUACCUCCUAGCUAUGUUAUCAUUCUUCCAUAGGUCUCUCUCUCUCUCAGGAAGAGUGCUCUGAGUUUGAGGCCAGCCUCAGCUACAGAGUAAGAUGCUAUUUGGGUAGAAAUGGGCUGAUUUAGACAAGCUCUAAAGAAUAAAGAACUUCUCUGGGAGGAACAACAAUAUGAACUAACCAGUGUACACACACACACACCAAGAGCUCGUGUCUAGCUGCAUAUGUAGCCGAAGAUGGCCUAGUUGGCCAUCAUUGGGAAGAGAGGCCCCUUGGUCUUGCAAACUUUAUAUGCCCCAGUACAGGGGAACGUCAGGGCCAAGAAGUGGGAGUGGGUGGGUAGGGGAGCAGGGCAGGGGGAGAGUACAGGGAACUUUCGGGAUAGCAUUUGAAAUGUAAAUAAAGAAAAUAUCUAAUAAAAAAUUAAACAUAAAAAAAAGUUAAGCUUGGGGCUAAAGAGAUAGCUCAGUGGUUCAGAGCCUCUUGCAGGGGACCCAGGUUGGGUUCUCAGCACCCAUGUGGUGGUUAACAACUAUCUGCAACUCCAAUUCUGGGGACUCUGACAUCCUCUUCUGACCUCUGCUGUCACCAGACAUGCAGGUGAAUACAUAUAUGAAGACAAAAGCCAGAGCAGUGCUGGAGAGCUCACUGUGGUGGUGUGGCUAAGCAAGAGCCUGCAAGCUGACCAGCUCAGCUCCCACCCAGGCUCAGAUCCAGGACUCUGAGUUGGCCUACCCCAAAAUCUAUAUCAUCUGCGAAUGGUUGGGACAUGCGAAAAGGCCAGUCCUGCUGCAGGAUCUCCAUGACACCGGGCAACAACAGGAUAACCGAGAGGAGUCCUGGUGAGGAUUCAAUAUUGAUGG
Mus musculus (house mouse) is the source of this 2045-nucleotide long non-coding RNA. RefSeq annotates it as predicted gene, 39870. The record is from RefSeq and is a predicted model, not a curated record. NCBI's taxonomy places the organism in Eukaryota, Metazoa, Chordata, Mammalia, Rodentia, Muridae. The transcript is spliced from 3 exons.